Molecule: long non-coding RNA, 174 nt
Organism: Etheostoma spectabile (orangethroat darter)
Lineage: Eukaryota; Metazoa; Chordata; Actinopteri; Perciformes; Percidae
Exons: 3
Source: RefSeq, a predicted model, not a curated record
GUUGCACCGAAUUCUGAUUCUUAGGGUUUGGCCCAAUACCAAAUCCACUGGUUAAGAUUCUGCCGAAUCCAAAACCAAAUCCUACUCCCAUCCUCGGUCCAUUAACGCAGUAAACACAUUAAUGAAGUAAACAACGUCCACAGCCGUGUAUUUUUUGGUUAUUUUAUUUUAACC